CGCUGGCGGCGUGCCUAAUACAUGCAAGCCGAGCGAACGGACGAGAAGCUUGCUUCUCUGAUGUUAGCGGCGGACGGGUGAGUAACACGUGGAUAACCUACCUAUAAGACUGGGAUAACUUCGGGAAACCGGAGCUAAUACCGGAUAAUAUUUUGAACCGCAUGGUUCAAAAGUGAAAGACGGUCUUGCUGUCACUUAUAGAUGGAUCCGCGCUGCAUUAGCUAGUUGGUAAGGUAACGGCUUACCAAGGCAACGAUGCAUAGCCGACCUGAGAGGGUGAUCGGCCACACUGGAACUGAGACACGGUCCAGACUCCUACGGGAGGCAGCAGUAGGGAAUCUUCCGCAAUGGGCGAAAGCCUGACGGAGCAACGCCGCGUGAGUGAUGAAGGUCUUCGGAUCGUAAAACUCUGUUAUUAGGGAAGAAUAUAUGUGUAAGUAACUGUGCACAUCUUGACGGUACCUAAUCAGAAAGCCACGGCUAACUACGUGCCAGCAGCCGCGGUAAUACGUAGGUGGCAAGCGUUAUCCGGAAUUAUUGGGCGUAAAGCGCGCGUAGGCGGUUUUUUAAGUCUGAUGUGAAAGCCCACGGCUCAACCGUGGAGGGUCAUUGGAAACUGGAAAACUUGAGUGCAGAAGAGGAAAGUGGAAUUCCAUGUGUAGCGGCGAAAUGCGCAGAGAUAUGGAGGAACACCAGUGGCGAAGGCGACUUUCUGGUCUGUAACUGACGCUGAUGUGCGAAAGC
Molecule: ribosomal RNA, 744 nt
Filed under: uncultured bacterium
Lineage: Bacteria
Description: bacterial SSU rRNA
Rfam family: Bacterial small subunit ribosomal RNA
Source: RNAcentral